CUCUUUCAUUUGGACCGUAAUUUAGUGUUUUAGAUACAAUUGUAUUAGAAAUGGCAGCUCUAGCUGCUACAAUUCCUCCGUGGAUCCCUGAAGACGACCUCUUAUUGAAGAACGCCGUUGAGGCAGGUGCUUCUUUGGAAGCACUUGCUAAAGGAGCGGUGAGAUUCUCGCGAAAAUUUACAGUCUCAGAAUUGCGUGAGAGGUGGUAUUCUCUCCUCUAUGACCCUGUUGUUUCAGAUGAAGCUUCUGCUCGCAUGUUGGAAUUUGAACUUUCUACCCCCAGUUCUAGAGUCAGC
This 296-nucleotide unclassified non-coding RNA is filed under the name Hevea brasiliensis (rubber tree). Lineage: Eukaryota; Viridiplantae; Streptophyta; Magnoliopsida; Malpighiales; Euphorbiaceae. The record is from RNAcentral.